UCUUGACCUCGGAUCAGGUAGGGAUACCCGCUGAACUUAAGCAUAUCAUAAGG
This 53-nucleotide ribosomal RNA is filed under the name Didysimulans italica. RNAcentral describes it as "partial 28S ribosomal RNA". The record is from RNAcentral. Lineage: Eukaryota; Fungi; Ascomycota; Dothideomycetes; Pleosporales; Didymellaceae.